This 262-nucleotide ribosomal RNA is filed under the name Escherichia coli. RNAcentral's name for it is "partial 23S ribosomal RNA". It matches the Rfam family "Bacterial large subunit ribosomal RNA", at positions 1085 to 1345 of the family's 2925-position model. Lineage: Bacteria; Pseudomonadati; Pseudomonadota; Gammaproteobacteria; Enterobacterales; Enterobacteriaceae. The record is from RNAcentral.
CCAGACAGCCAGGAUGUUGGCUUAGAAGCAGCCAUCAUUUAAAGAAAGCGUAAUAGCUCACUGGUCGAGUCGGCCUGCGCGGAAGAUGUAACGGGGCUAAACCAUGCACCGAAGCUGCGGCAGCGACGCUUAUGCGUUGUUGGGUAGGGGAGCGUUCUGUAAGCCUGCGAAGGUGUACUGUGAGGUAUGCUGGAGGUAUCAGAAGUGCGAAUGCUGACAUAAGUAACGAUAAAGCGGGUGAAAAGCCCGCUCGCCGGAAGAC